This is a non-coding RNA of Podarcis lilfordi (Lilford's wall lizard), 9863 nucleotides long. The record is from the annotation of a GenBank genome assembly. NCBI's taxonomy places the organism in Eukaryota, Metazoa, Chordata, Lepidosauria, Squamata, Lacertidae.
GCAGCCACUAAAGCCUCUUCUGUCGACAUUCCUCUUGGUUUUAAAUAUACUGGUACAAAGGCAGCGACAGAAGGAGCAGGGGGGCCCGAUGAUGGACCUCUCCUGGAUUAUUGCCAAGUCUUCCCAGACCUUAAUGUUUUGCCGGCAGUUGACUGGUCUGUUUUUCCUCUUCCAUUUACCAUAACACUUAAAAGAUUCAAGGUCAGUCCCAGAGUCUCACGGUUUUUAACUUGCAGCUGGAAAUUCCCCUAGCCCAGCUCUUGUAAAGCAACCGGUUUCAAAGGCUUCCACUGGGAGAAACAGUUUCUCUUUGUAAUAGUCAAUAGUAUCCUCUUUUAAACAAUCCAAAAUUAGUUUCAAAUUAGUUUCAAUUUUCAGUUACUUUUACUCCUUUUUAAAGCAGCCGGGGACAGUAGAAACAAUGUAUUUCUCUUGUUUAACUAGCUGUCAAUGAACGUUCUAAACACUGUCAAUGAACAUUCCAAAAGACAUCAGUCCUGCUCGCAGCCCGUUUCCAGGGUCAGAGCGGCAGUGUUUUAAAUCUCUUCGCUCUCUCCCACAGGUAUACUCAAUCCGCAACUUCCCCCUCUCUUCUCCUGCCUCCAAGAGGGGGUUUAAUGUUCUUUACCAAUGGAAAUUUAAUCUUUUACAAAAGACUUUCCAGGACUCCAGCUUGCAACUUCAUUGCCUCAGUCUAUUUACAAAAGGGAAGGCGGACUUCCUGUUUUGAACCUCCCGUUACGGUACCAAAUUAAACAUUUAGAAAUCCAAUUCUUCCGCUUCAGCUGUACUCACGGGUAAUUACUUUAAAGUCAAAUUGUCCACAGGAAAAGGUCAGCGCUCUCCGGCAACAGCUAUGCGGCUUCGCUCCGUGGAAGAAGCAGACGAUUCGAUGCACCGUGCCACUCACCCCACGUCGCUCCGGAGCCCCAAAAACCAGGGUUCCCCGCGAGUGGGGGAGGCGCAGAAGGUGCCCGCCGAAUCCCACGUUCACAGGCUUCUCCUGCCUGUGAUUUUAACGGGUCUCCGCCUUCGCCGUGGCGGCCAGACCCAGAUUUCCACGGAGCAGAUUCCUCCCGGUCAGAGGAAUUCCGCCAUUACCGGAGGCACCUCCCCGGAAGUCAAGGUUCUGUUCUCUCCCCCAUGCUUUUUAACAUCUAUAUGAAGCUGCUGGGAGAGAUCAUCAGGGGGUUUGGGCUGGUUGUUCAUCAAUAUGUGGAUGAUACCCAGCUGUACCUAUCUUUUAAAUCAUAACUAGUGAAGGUGGUGAAGGUCCUGUGUGAGUGUCUGGAGGCAGUUGGAGGAUGGAUGGCGGCUAACAGAUUGAGGUUGAAUCCUGACAAGACAGAAGUACUGUUUUUUUUUGGGGGGGGGGUCCAGCGCUGAGGGCCUUCUGGCAGUUUCCUCACUGUGCCGUGGUGUUUUAGAAUUUGGCUUUAUUGGCAUUGCAUCUGGGCAGGUGAGAGUAUUAAUAAAUGCUUGUGUUAAUAUCCUGUGUGUUUAUCAAGCAGAUCCCAGUAAAUAGGUGGGGGCUGCCUUUCACUUGGUGCAUCCCUGAUUGAGCAGGCCUAGCCUAGGGACAGGGUGAGGCUGCCCUUCAAUUGCUGCUCAGCACUCUGCAGGGAGAAGGAGCCUCUGCCUUUCCCAAAUGCUCCGGCUGCCGUUUUGCAGAAAUACUGGGCAAAGCUCUGGUGGCGGCUUUUUGAUCACAGAGGAACAUGUGCUAUGCGCACCAUCCUUCUUUUUUAGAUGCUGCAGAGGGACCAGGGCCAGCUGAUGGAGGAGGAAGAGUAGCAUCACUCCCACUGGUCCGCUCCAUCCUGCCUGCUUUCAGCAGAAGCCGCAAGGAAGGCUCUUUGCCCAGGCAAGUGUGCCUGCCUCACACUUUUCAGGGCAGAAACAGCACAACCCAUGAGCCAAGGGGCCAGCCAGUGUCCAGGGGCAAGGACUGAAGGGGAAGUCAGGAGGACCAACUCCAUGGACAAACAGUAAUGCAGGAUCAAGCAACAAGCCAAAAUCAGGACUGAAGUAACUUUAGGCUAGACCAACAAGCAGAAAAGAGACAAAGAGUAGACCAGAAGUCCUUUGGGGUUUUUCCUGUAACCUGGUUAAAGAAUAAGAGGACCGUUCUCUAGGUGCCUAGAUCCACACUGGGGGCAAGUAUUAUUAUUAUUAUUAUACCCCACCCAUCUGGCUGGACUUCCCCAGCCACUCUGGGCGGCUUCCAGCAAAAUAUUAAAAUACAGUAAUGCAUCAAACAUCAAAAGCUUCCCUAAACAGGGCUGCCUUCAGAUGUCUUCUAAAAGUUUGGUAGUUGUUCUCUUUGACAUCUGGUGGGAGUGUGUUCCACAGGGUGGGUCCCACUACUGAGAAGGCCCUUUGCCUGGUUCCCUGUAACUUGGCUUCUUGCAGUGAGGGAACCGCCAGAAGGCCCUUGGCGCUGGACCUCAGUGUCCAGGUAGAACGAUGGGGGUGGAGACGCUCCUUCAAGUAUACUGGGGCGAGGCUGUUUAGGGCUUUAAAGGUCAGCACCAACACUUUGAAUUGUGCUCAGAAACGUACUCUUUGGUAAGAGAGCCCUAACAGAGAUUUAAAAUCAUAAAACAUGCAGCAAAUUAAAGCAUGGAAAUAGCCUGUUACACCUUUAAAAUAUGCCCUUCUAAGUCUUUUCCAAAGUUUCCCACUUCCUUUAGCAUAGAAAGAGACCACGUGUUUAGCAAGUUAAAAACAGUUUACUUACAAACUCUUCCAAGGUCAGAUUCAUGUGCUUUUCCAUACAGCAGCAAGAAAAGACAGACAGUGCAACUUAGUUUAAAAAAUGGUAAGAGUUUCUAAAUUAUUUGUAUAGAAACACAAAGAUGGCUUGCUGAAGACACAUGGUUUUGGAACAUCCAGCUAUGACAUCCUUUCUAGGGUGGAAGUACAUAUGGAGGAAGUAAGGUGGAAAGUGGGAGAACAAAGAGUUUGGUAGCUCUGCCUCACAAGGUGAGGGAUGGUGACCUAGCUAAGACUGGCAGGACAGCUUACACUGUGGUCUUAACCCCUUUAUGCAUUAAUUUGAGUUAAGCAUGUUGGCUAUAUACAAAGUCAGGGAUGAAGAAUAAGCCAAGAGGAAGGACCAAAGAACAACCAAUGAUACAGGAGAGAUCUCAAGAAGCCUUUGUUGCACCAGCAAAGCUCAGCUGGACCAGGAAGUCCUCUUAUGUACUAUUUCCUGCCCAGGAGCAUCCAAUGGCCAGCCUGAGUGGGUGGAACCAGCCCAGGUCCUGAAGGUAGUUGACUAAGAAGGCUGCCACCUGCAGUUCAGUGAUUCACUAUACCAGGGGCUGCACGUGAAUGAAUCCACCAUCUCCAACAGUGAACUAGGUGGAUGGGAAGUAAGCAAAUAAACGUCUACACCAGGCUCUUCUGACCAGAAGAGUGUUCAGGGCAGUUUUAGAAUGAGAAACACAAAAGAGAAAAUAGAUGUCAAGAAGAGAGAGCAAAAGCUCACAUUAAAAAUACUAUCAAAGGUAGAAAUCCAAAAGCAGCAUGAAAAAUGGGAGGGGAAAUGGAAUGGAGUAUCAUGGGAGAGGGCAUGGUUGGUUGUCCGGCCCCAUGAGCAAGAGGGCGCCACGUGGAAAGGUUUCAAUGCAGCUCCCACCUGCAAGAUCUCACUGAAAAGCAACUCCCAAGCAGAUGUGUGCAAAUGGCACCUUUGCUUUGAGUUAUUCUUACUAGAGAUGGAUGCAUUGUCCACAGAGAGAAACCCCCUUCCCACACAGACCCUUAUUUUGAGGCAGUCAAUCUUACUUUAUAGCCAUCAAAUUGACCAAGUUGCUUCAAUACUGGAGAAAGUCGUAACAUAAAUUUUGUUUGUAAGAUACAUGAUGCACAUCACCGAUGGAACUGAGCUGCAGGAUAAAGUAGAUCUUGUUCCCUAAUCCACUUGGACAAUAGGAACAGAGACACAGAGUGAGAAAAGGCAGAGCAUCUGCCACUAAUAACAACAACUGAGUUUUGAUUGUGUUGUGUCCCAGGCACGACCUUGACAAUCCUGACUGUCUUAUCGCAGUCCUGUUCCAUGUUCAUCCAGGAUGUUUCCAUUCUACAGUAAUGUGGUUUUCAAAAUAAUUAUUGUGGAAUGGACACUUUUAGAUGAACUCAUUAAAUUGAAGUUACAUUGCAGUGUGGGCUAUGCUGCAUUUACUCAUGGAGAAGCAGUGGAUCCGUUCCAGGUAUAUAUGUUGAAAAUACAUUUAAUAUUAUUAUUUUGGGGGUGGGGGUGAUAUUCUUAAAACAAAAUUUUUUUUAGGUAUGGGUUGUAUCCAAGUAAACUCUACUCAGAGUGGACCCAUUGAAAUUAAUGGACCUCUCGUAGUUGUGUCUUUUCAAUUUCAGUGAGUCUGCUCUGAGUAUGAUUAACAAUGCAUACAACCCUAUAUUCUACUCCUACAUUGCUGGAAGUAAACACUACAAAACCAAUGCUGCAAUGCGCCCUUGAUGAAAUUUCCAUGCGUAAUUAAGAUACAUGUACAACAGUGAAAGCUGAACCCUGUCCCCAAGAUACAGUGAUUUCUCAGUGGCCAAAAUACAGAUGCACAACCAUAGAAUCAAGUGUCAGCACUGAUAAUAUCCCACUUCAUUUGCUGCAAGGCUAUGCUGUGGGUGGAGGAAACGAUCCCGGUUGGCCUAUCAAUACAGGCAAGUCCAAAGCAACUAGAAACCUCUCUGGCCUUGCUGUUUUUCUCCCAUCUCUGAAAUGAAGUGGCUUUUCUUGCUUAUCUCUGUCUGGAAAUAUUGCCUUAAAAUCAAAAGUGGAAACCCUUACCAAUAUUUUUGAGGUGCACCCUGGAGCAUAGAAUUCUAAAUAUAAAAUGGUCUUGUGAAGUUCCAGCUUAUGAAUAUUCACUUGUUGAAUUUGCAUUUUGUUUUUCAUCUCCACCAGCUAUUAGAACACUGCUUGUUGCAGGCUUAGAACACCCUUCCCAGCUGUCUGAUCAAACUUUAAAAUGGAUGGAUGGAUAGAUUUGGAGCAAAGCAGCCCCUCAUUGUUUCCUGAUGCGGACGCCCAUCUUUUGGGAAUUUUUCCAGGAGGCAGCUUCAAAGACAGCCCAGCGAUGGCAGCAAACAGAAUCCCACAGCCAGCAAGCAAAAUGGGAAACAUUUCAGAGUUUCUUUCCACCUCAUAAUUCUUCCAAGACAUUUCUCCAGAGCUGAAUCCCACCUUGGGACUCACCUUUUAAUUUGCAGACUUUAAUCCAGGUCAAGAGCUAAUGUAGUUAGAGCAGCCUAUCCCUGACCGGUUGGUUCCCAGAUGUCCUUGGACUUAACUGUGGUUAAGGCUGCCUGCCUGGGAAUUCUUAGUAAGGCUCAUUGGCAGAACAUCCCCCUUGCAUGUUGAAGGCAGUGGUAGAGACAGGCAAUGUGAAUACUAUUAAAUUUACUAGUCACGUUGUUUUUCCCCACAGGCAACUCAAAGCAACUUAUAAAAAGAAAAAGAAAAUACAUAUAUUUUAAAACCAGGAGAAAAAUACAUUAAAACAUCUCACCCACACUAAAAGGCCCUGGAUCAGUAGAAGCCAAAGGCCUGCUUAAAAAUGAAUGUUUUUGCCUGGCGCACGAAAAUAUUGUAUAUUAGAAGAUAGCAUGAUUAUGAUAAACUACAAAAUACCUGAUUUUCUGUUGCUAACUGGGAAAAGAUUACUCAAACUGAAUGAAACAUGAUUCCAUCAAUGGCAGGAGGAGCUUUUCACAGAGUCUUUGAUGUCAAGUUGAUUCUGGGUGGUAGGCUCUCUUCUCUCUAAUAUCCUGUCUUGUCAGUUUCUUUUGCAGUUCCCUGACCCAACAUCACGUGGCAGUUAAUGGAAGAGAGUUGAUGCACUUGCUGCAGAAAGGUUUUGAGACAGUGGAGUCUAAUUAAAGUGAGACUUUCCUUCGAAUAAAUCAAAACCCUCAACAGGGGGAGCAAAUUUCCUUUGCCUGCGAGGAAAACAGGCUGAUUUGUUGAUCCCCUUCAGAUGGAGAAGGAAGAUGGAACGAUACCUCUGGGCUUGUUCUAGCCAGCCAAACAGAGGAACUCCUAAAAGCUAUGGAUUGUAUUCAGUUUCACUUGGAGAAGGAACACUGAAAUUGAUAGUCCUAACUUACGGGUAAGGUUUACACUGACUACAACUCUGUAUUUGUUCUCUUGCAUUAUUGUACAACAAAGAGAAUAUAUUUACCAAACCCAAAUCUGCUUGGGCUGCUGUGCAUCUCACAGUGAUCCACCAUCAUUCUGCAGAGGGCGAUUUCAUUUACAGAACUUCUGCACCCACCCACAGAGCAGCUGGCUACCCUGUGAAAAAGAACUUUUUUACAACCUUACCUAAGGGCUGCAUUUCCUCGAAGCAAGUGGGAGGAGCAACGGAUGCUACUCAUCCCUGUGGUCCAUGCCAGAACUUUCUACACACAGAGAGACUCGGAUCCCAAGCAUUGUCACUGCCCAAGGACGCAGUCCAGCUGGCCAAAGCACAGGAGGAGGGUGUGCCUUGCAUGUGGCCUCAUCAGAGUCCCAAGGGUCUGGAGGACCCAAGCCUACUGUGUGGAGAGGGAAGGGACAGAGAGCUUUGGGUGCCUGCCCUGCUGACCAGGCAGGAUCAGAACCUCCUCAGACCUUCUGAGUCAGUGAAAGGGCUUCACGAGGAAAUGGCGCUUGCCUUGUCACACAGCCGGCCAUUACAAGCUUGACAAAUUUGCAUGCCAAACCAGCAACAUCCCUAAUGUAGGGAGGGACUUGCUCCAGCGUCUACAGGCACAUGUGGGCUCAUUUGCAACAGCAGCGGGCCAGAUAAUCAUAGUUUAUGAAGCAACCUUGAGCUGGCUGGAUCUCUGCCGACGCUCUUAUCUGUCAUGUUCCCUUCUGACUCAUAGUGCUUUUCUACAUUAGUGAGUGAAAUGAAGCUCCUGCAGCAAUAAACAGAAAGAUCACAUACCUGCUUUGAAGUUGCCGUUUUAAAUAACCUCCCAGGGCUGUGCUAAUGCAGGGAGGGGAGAGGAAGCCUUCGCCUCCCCACCUCCAGACUUGCAUUUCCAAUCAGGCAAUGAAAAUGAAAAAGGCUCCUUUAGCUGCAUCCCACAGCGAGAGCCAUGACAACGCUUUUCAAGCCAAUGCACCCGGUGAUGAAUGACGCUUGGUUAGAACUCACUUCCCGAGUCAGCAUCUCGUCAUUCACAAAGCACAAUUUAUUAACCUAUAAACACGGUGUAAGCGCGGCAAGAGUUAUUUUAAUUUGUAAUUUUCAAGACUCCUUGGAGGAGGCUGGCUGGCUGGAUUUUCUCCACUCAGUUACCCUGUGCAAAGACCUUCUCUGUCCACUAGGGGAGGGGGAUGUUCAAUUUUUAAAAUAACUUUCUAAAAUUAUAGUUUAAAGUUGGAUUUUUGGGGCAGUGUUUUAAGGUAAUCUUUCAAAAUAGUAGUUUUUAAAAAGGAAGUACAAAUACCUGGAUAUAUUUGUAUCUUCUGAACAAACCGCAUUUACUAUACAUUUUGGAAAGUGGCUUGUCUGCUCUCUAUAUGUUCGGACACCUCUUGAGAUAUCAUUUCCAAACUCUGCAUGAAGGUUCCUGAGAAGUGGGUCGAGGUCAUCAUCAAAGUUUGGACACCAGGCGCCAUUUUGAUUCAACAUGGCAAACCAAAAUGUGACUUCACCAUUAUUUUUGGCAUGGGUUUGGUUACCUCUCAAAACUUCAUGGCCAAACUGGGCACAAGGAUUUCCAAGCUGGGGGUGGCAGUCUUCAUCGAUGUUCAGCUACCAGGCACCAUUUUAAAUCAAGACUGCAGACCAAAAUGUGACUUGAGUGUGAAAUCAUCUGAUUUUUGGCAUCACAGGUCAAAACUCACAAAUUAUAUGAUCCAUGUAAAAAUCACAAUAUUUGUUGGUUUCUUAAAUUUCUCAGAUAGUGCUGAGUACUCCCUGCUAAUUUAAUUAUGCUCUCAAAUAAGAGUUGGACCACUGCCUUUUGUUUUUUGAAGUUGGAUGUUUAUUUUUAAAAAACAAAUCUCAUUUCUUUUCUUAUAUUAUGGAGUUUGGUGGAUCAGAGAAAUGCUGUGGAGAUAGUGUAUCUUGAUUUUAAGUAAGGCUUUUGACAAAGUCCCCCAUAGUAUUCUUGCAGGGAAGCUUGUAAAAUGUGGGUUGAAUGAGGUAACUGUUAGGUGGAUUUGUAGUUGGUGGACUGACCGAACCCAAAGAGGACUCAUGAAUGGUUCCUCGUCAUCCUGGAAAAAAGUGACAAGUGGGGUGUCGAAAGGUUGUGACCUGGGCCUGUUGUUGUUCAACGUCUUUUCAACUUGGAUGAAAGAAUUGAGGGAAUGCUCAUCCAAUUUGCAGAUGACAGCAAACGGGGGGGGGGGGGGGUAGCUAAUGCUGCAGAAGACAGAGUCAGAAUUUGAAAUGACCUUAACAGAUUGGAGAACUGGGUGCAAGCUAACAAAAUGAAUUUCAAUAUGGACAAAUGUCAGGUUCUGCUGUGUCCUAUGGGUACAAGAGGGGGCCAAUGCCACUGAAGAUUGUGGGGAAUGCCAUGCCUACUACAAGGCAGUUUCCUAUGCAGUUUCUUUGGUUUUUACUUGGUGAAACCAUCUCAAAGCUCGCUUUAUCCAUGGGCCUGUUUGCUCUCCUCUUUGACCCGCAUGACUGUGAGUCCACAUUAUAGGAAUCAGAAGGAGAUAUCCCCCUCUGAUUUUGCUGGAAGGAAAAAAAAAGUGUGAGAGCCAUUAAGAGGGGGCCACCAGGUGGCGCAUUGGAAGAUGGCCGACAAUAACAUCUCUCCGACCCAUACGAGGUAAUUAAGAGGCUGCUAUGGGAAGUAUGCAGCCUUCCCGCCCCCCCCCCCAAGGAGAUGGGGGGGACUGCCUUGCCAGCGGUGUCCAUAACGCACCCCCGGAUUCAAAAGAAGGGGGCACCGGUCACUUGGCACAAGCCCUCAAUGAGGUCAGCGCUUCCUGACGCUGUCUCCAAUCAGCGCGUGCUGGUUCGCUUUAGCUCGAAAAUAUAAUUGGAAACAUAUAAUUGGAAAGAAGCUAAAGCACAUACAUCAAGCAAAGUUCGGGAGAUAAGACUGCUGAUUAAUGGAUCUCUGUGACCGGAGCGAUGGAUGGGACAAAUAAAUCAAGUGAUGAACCACCAUUAAGAGACUGGUAUGUUUGGAGUGAAAUAGAAGGGGGGUGGAGGAAAAAUCUUUUCUUUUCUUUGCCUUAUGUGAAUAUUAAUAACCCUCCACCCCAAAGAAAGAAGAUCGUUGCAUUUUAUUAAUCACAAGCAGGAAUUCAAGAACUGUGUGGAGUGGAUUAUAGAUUAAAGAGAUGACUGGUAAACAACGGAGAAUGGAGGAAAUUUUUAUGACGCAGCUUUAAAUGGCGUCUCGCUAAGACAGGCUUGUCUGAGAAAGACGGGGGGAGGAGGAUCAGGAUCAUCGGAAUGUGAAUGAUGAUUGGAAUGUGAUCUUAACUUGACAGAGCCCUCCUGAUAUACUUGGCAAGCCUGAGAAAAUUAAAGGACAGACCGAAGAUAAUUUUUUUAUGGAAGUGUGGAAUGGCUGUCCCUAAGUGAUAUGGUCUUUGGAGAGUGUAAAACCCACACAGAGGAUGUCUGUUUCCAACCCGCUUGUGAAGAUUAUCAGAGAUCACAAAGAAAGGAAUAUAUGAUAACAACAAGAAGAUGAAGAAAGUAAUAAAGAGACUAUCUGGAUAGAACUGGAUAGAACUGUUUAAUUAAAGCAGCAAUAUAAGUGAUGCUUGGACCCCGUUCGGAGCUUGAUGUAUGGGUACCCCCAACAAAAUUUAAAAAUCUGGCUGUAUAAUUUGGAACUAAUGUGAUUUGGAAAUAAUGUGAUUUGAUUGACCC